RNAcentral lists this long non-coding RNA (870 nucleotides) under Sorghum bicolor (sorghum). RNAcentral's name for it is "long non-coding RNA (SBIC_LNC003554)". The record is from RNAcentral. Lineage: Eukaryota; Viridiplantae; Streptophyta; Magnoliopsida; Poales; Poaceae.
GAGGCUUCAUCGAGCUGGUUGCACUGCAUGCCUAUAAGUAGACACUAGCUACACACCUCUAGCUAGCUCUUCAUCCACUAACAUUUCAUAUACACACUCCGAGCUCGAGCUGAUCAAACGCGCAACGCAGCAAGCUCUAGCUAGCUAGGUACGUAGAGAGCACCACUGCACCAGUAGAUCACUGAAAGACACGAUGAAGAGAGGUGGCAAAGGCACGGGCGCUGGAGCGGCGACGACGGCAGUGCUUCUACUUGCGCUGCUGCUGGUUCUCGCUGCCUCGCAGGCGGACGGCGCUGCGGCGGCGCGCCGUCUUGGGGUUCCUCCUAAUGGCUGCACCUAUGACCCACCCAAAACGGGGGCGCCCUGCCACGGCCACAGCCCCAGUAAGCAAAGCGACGGGGCGGGCCGUGACAGGGUUUCAGCCUUAACCCCUCAACACCCGUGACAAGAGUGGUCCUAGGAGCAAGAAACUCCAUGAUAAUUUCAACGUAUGCUUGGCGAACAAAUGUGCUGUUUAGAUCAAAGUAGCAUUGUAGAAUUUGUUGAUUUUGAUAAUUCCGAUCGAGCAGAUCUUCCGUUGGUUGCUACAGGUAUUUUUCGUAUGUUAGUGUUUGUUUAUUUGUUAUUCAAAGUAAUAGAAAUGGGUGUCAUACUCAAAGAGGAAGGAUGUAUAGUUAGUACUUGAAAGUAUAUACUAUGGUUGUAAGAUUUUUCAGAGAACAAAACAGAGUUCCCCUGUUUAUCGAAGCUCCACCUUGUCUUCUUUCUCUGAAUGCAACGUGGUCAAUUUUGGCCUUUUGGGAACCUCUGCCGAAAGUAGUUGAGUCGUGUAUGUACAAGGAUAUCUAUAGGAAGCUCACAACAAUGUUU